Molecule: long non-coding RNA, 429 nt
Filed under: Oryctolagus cuniculus (rabbit)
Lineage: Eukaryota; Metazoa; Chordata; Mammalia; Lagomorpha; Leporidae
Description: lncRNA (ENSOCUG00000033610.1)
Source: RNAcentral
AUGCGCGAGUGGCGCCCUUCGCCUUGGCGGAAGUGCCUGCUGGCGGGCAGAGAAGCAAAACUGAAGAGUCUCUUGUGGAUCUACCUCUCUCUGGAGGCACAGGUGCUAAACGGGGUAUUAAAGGACCAUGAAGAUUUUCUCCAUCUCUUGUUGAUUAACAGUCUUCACAUCAGCCUCAGGAUGAUCCAGCAUGAAAUUCCACUCACCAGACUCCCAAUCCAGGGCACUCACCACUGUAGCAAUUGCCAGAGGAAAAGUCUAGCCCUGCAGUCCCCGGAUGCUGAGCCUCAGAAGCCAACGGAAGGGCGUGAGGGGAGGAUACACAGGUGGAGGCUGCUCCAGGAGGAAACCAGUGCUCCGAGCCUGCCGUGGGCCAGGCAGGGCUUUAGCUACACCAGGUUCUGUCCGUACUGCCAUUUUGUAAGUUAA